Rosa chinensis is the source of this 556-nucleotide long non-coding RNA. RefSeq lists it as uncharacterized. NCBI's taxonomy places the organism in Eukaryota, Viridiplantae, Streptophyta, Magnoliopsida, Rosales, Rosaceae. The record is from RefSeq and is a predicted model, not a curated record. The transcript has 2 exons.
UUUGAUUCUUGGGACUACUAGAUAUUGGUUGUUCAUUGCUGAAAAUUUGAAUCCAACUUGGUACUCUUACUAACUCUGCUCCUUUAAUUUCUUACUGGAUAUUGUUGUGACCCAAUUUUGUAUAAAAGUUCAUACACAGUUUUUUAUCAAAAUGCAUAUGGUUUAAGUGAAUUUGAAGUGAUUCUGUGUAGGUAUAUUCUGGUUCCAGCUUCAUUGUACUUGGGUUUUGCUGCUUCCAUAAUAUGGGUUGGGCAGUAUUUUGAAGCAGCCAUUCGCUUGGUACCAUUGCAAGGUCUGGCACCAAGGAAUUCAUGGAAGCCUUGGAUGCUGGAGCUGAUCUUAGCAUGAUUGGUCAGUUUGAUGUUGGGUUCUACUCUGCAUAUCUUGUUACUGAGAAGGAAGAGGAAGGAAUUCUAAAAAUAAUAAUGUUGCUACGCUUAUAUAGCCUUUACAUUUUUGGCCUUUAUGUUUAGGUAUAUAUAGGCAGGGUUAAUUAGUAUGUGUUAAAUGUUGGGAUGAACAUGCUAUUAAUGGAAUGAAUUGGUUUUGGAAUCAA